RNAcentral lists this long non-coding RNA (368 nucleotides) under Scleropages formosus (Asian bonytongue). RNAcentral's name for it is "lncRNA (ENSSFOG00015028446.1)". The record is from RNAcentral. Lineage: Eukaryota; Metazoa; Chordata; Actinopteri; Osteoglossiformes; Osteoglossidae.
GCUUAGUAUAGCUGACGUGCAAUAAUGCAGUCUCGUGCAGUAAAAGGCAAUAAUUACCGUAGGCAGUCGUAAACGGUAGUUCAAAAUACUUUACAAAACUGUCAGCGGAUUUCUGCAAUGCACCAUCUGCAGAGGAUAUUUUAGCUCCAUGGGACCAGCCAAGGGGUUAGAUGCUGCACACCAGCCCUUAGUGCUACUGAACAAUGAAAAACUAUAGCUCGCACAUUGCCCUCAAAUCUCCUGCUCCUUGUGUCUCUCAAGUUCCCCAGCUGUUCAUCAUCGAGUCUUCAGUGUUCCUUUGUUACCAAGUCACCUUUUGCACUUCUACACCAACAUCUUAAAGCACUUUGACCACAUACACAUGGCAC